GGUGGGUGAGGUGUGUGAGGUGGGUGAGGUGGGUGAGGUGUGUGAGGUGUGUGAGGUGGGUGAGGUGUGUGAGGUGGGUGAGGUGUGUGAGGUGUGUGAGGUGUGUGAGGUGUGUGAGGUGUGUGAGGUGUGUGAGGUGGGUGAGGUGUGUGAGGUGUGUGAGGUGUGUGAGGUGUGUGAGGUGUGUGAGGGGUGUGAGGUGGGUGAGGUGUGUGAGGUGUGUGAGGUGGGUGAGGUGUGUGAGGUGUGUGAGGUGUGUGAGGGGUGUGAGGUGGGUGAGGUGUGUGAGGUGGGUGAGGUGGGUGAGGUGUGUGAGGUGGGUGAGGUGUGUGAGGUGUGUGAGGUGGGUGAGGUGGGUGAGGUGUGUGAGGUGUGUGAGGUGUGUGAGGUGGGUGAGGUGGGUGAGGUGGGUGAGGUGUGUGAGGUGUGUGAGGGGUGUGAGGUGGGUGAGGUGUGUGAGGUGUGUGAGGUGGGUGAGGUGUGUGAGGUGGGUGAGGUGGGUGAGGGGUGUGAGGUGGGUGAGGUGUGUGAGGUGGGUGAGGUGGGUGAGGUGUGUGAGGUGGGUGAGGUGUGUGAGGUGUGUGAGGUGUGUGAGGUGUGUGAGGUGGGUGAGGUGUGUGAGGUGUGUGAGGUGUGUGAGGUGGGUGAGGUGUGUGAGGUGUGUGAGGUGUGUGAGGUGUGUGAGGUGUGUGAGGUGUGUGAGGUGUGUGAGGUGUGAGUCCAGCCCACCUCAUGCCGCUGUCUAUCUGUGAGGUGUGUGAGUCCAGCCCACCUCAUGCCGCUGUCUAUCUGUGAGGUGUGUGAGUCCAGCCCACCUCAUGCCGCUGUCUAUCUGUGAGGUGUGUGAGUCCAGCCCACCUCAUGCCGCUGUCUAUCUGUGAGGUGUGUGAGUCCAGCCCACCUCAUGCCGCUGUCUAUCUGUGAGGUGUGUGAGUCCAGCCCACCUCAUGCCGCUGUCUAUCUGUGAGGUGUGUGAGUCCAGCCCACCUCAUGCCGCUGUCUAUCUGUGAGGUGUGUGAGUCCAGCCCACCUCAUGCCGCUGUCUAUCUGUGAGGUGUGUGAGUCCAGCCCACCUCAUGCCGCUGUCUAUCUGUGAGGUGUGUGAGUCCAGCCCACCUCAUGCCGCUGUCUAUCUGUGAGGUGUGUGAGGUGUGUGAGUCCAGCCCACCUCAUGCCGCUGUCUAUCUGUGAGGUUUUGUUGACGUUAGCGUUCCAGAGGUAAACGGAGCUGGACUUGUCAGAGAUCACUGCCAAGAUGUCUCCAUCCUUAUCCCAGUCC
Oncorhynchus keta (chum salmon) is the source of this 1279-nucleotide long non-coding RNA. RefSeq lists it as uncharacterized. The record is from RefSeq and is a predicted model, not a curated record. Lineage: Eukaryota; Metazoa; Chordata; Actinopteri; Salmoniformes; Salmonidae. The transcript has 10 exons.